This 120-nucleotide ribosomal RNA is filed under the name uncultured bacterium. RNAcentral describes it as "partial 16S ribosomal RNA". It matches the Rfam family "Bacterial small subunit ribosomal RNA", at positions 28 to 146 of the family's 1533-position model. The record is from RNAcentral.
GACGAACGCUGGCGGCGUGCUUAACACAUGCAAGUGGAGCGACGAACCAGAGCUUGCUCUGGGGCAGAGCCGCGAACGGGUGAGUAACACGUGGGUAACCCACCCCGAUGACCGGGACAA